GCACAUUAAAAAAUAAAAAGUUGGAUAUUAUUUGUUACUGAUAGUUUUUAAAUGCACACAGUUCUAACUUCUAAAACGAGAAUUUUUUGCUUCCUUAAUGAAGUUACACUAAAAACUUACAUAAGUAAAAACAUCAUUUACAGCAACUGCUCUAGUACAGAAAGAGUUUCUCAAUGUUUCCUUUCAAUCAGUUGUGUUUUUAUUUUAUUUAUGAGAGAUAAUGGUACAGUUAUUUAUCUACAUUCUUUUUCAAGAUGUCCAGAUUCGUAACGUUAGUAUUUCUCAGACCUUUAUAUUUUGCAACUAUUGGGUCUUAAGAAGGGUCCUGAACGGUCAGUGAUUGAGAUUUGCUUAACUGCUGGUAGACACGUUAUUAAUUACUACAUGCCCUGACCGUUGGUAAAUUUUGCUGUGGUAGGGAUAUAAAUAGCAACGUUUCCCCCAGAAGUGUGCUAGGAAAGCUCCCCGCAGAACCAGGGUCGUCUCAUCUGACACUUUAGGUUUGAGACCUGAAUAAGCUUUGUAGAAGGAAGAACGAUCAGCUCAUCGCUGUUACAGUGUCACUGCGCUGGCGGCCUGAUUCCUGUAUCUCAGCCCAGCAGGCCCUGCUGUGAGGACGCAAAUCACAAUGACUAAGAGCACAGGCUUAACCAUCAAACUGACAAGGGUUCACAUCUUGACCUCACCACUACUCCCUGCGUAUAAAAUCUGGUGUGCCUUGUGAUUUUUUGUUGAAAGGAGAACAUGAUGUUACUGGCUAAAAGGAACUGGUAAGCAGACCUUUAGUAAUGUAAUGUUAAGUUGUGGGAGAAGAGAAAGCAUUCUGCAGUCCUAUGAUUAAGUCCCUGUCUUCUGAUGAGCCUGUGGCUGUGGAAUGGGAAUUUCACCAGUUUUCUCAGGGAUCUUUCUCCCCUAGGUGGGACAGGAUAGCUAGUUAGCGGGGACUGGGUAUUUCCCUUCUCCCAGAUAGGUCAGGUGCUGAUAUAAUCUCUGCAGAUCAGGCUCUGGUAAAAUAGUUUCUCCACACGGGCAGCCUUGUUAAGAAGAAGAGUGCUCUGACAUAUUUCAAAACAAUUCCUUUUCCUCUCCCUUUGCCAGAAGCAUGAAGGGAUCUUUCUCUGAUAUUUACUGUGAAAACUUGGUAAAGGUCCUGGAGGUAAAACUCAGAAAAGCCUAGAGGCCGCCUUAUUACUCCCUCCGCUGUCUCGAGUUUUUAACUCUAGAACUUGAUAUAUGAGCCUCCAGCAAUUCAUCAAUUACAGUUCAGGUUUUCCACUCUGGCUCUGGUUCCCACAGAGGUUUCUGCUGGUGGGUUUCUGCUCUGGUGCAUUGUGAUUCUCUGUAUCUGCCUGUCUGUCUCUCCAAUCUGGGGCAGCGGUUUGCCUUGUGACCUCACUUCUCUUAUGAAUGUAAGAAAAGUUAUUGAUUUUUCAGUUUUCAUUUUUUUGU
Molecule: long non-coding RNA, 1449 nt
Organism: Physeter macrocephalus (sperm whale)
Lineage: Eukaryota; Metazoa; Chordata; Mammalia; Artiodactyla; Physeteridae
Exons: 3
Source: RefSeq, a predicted model, not a curated record